GAGGUUUUUAUGCACAGCUCCUCUUCUGUUUACCUUUUUAAAUAAUUUCGAUGGUCGGGGGGCAGACACCGUCACUAUAGGAUUUUCACUAAGUACCACCAUUCUUUCAACAACUACCAGAACAUCUGGAACCACAAUCUGGAACCCAAGUGAGUAUGACAAAUUGUGAUCUUUUACACUACACUUUGAAUACUGUAAUCGUCUACUAACAGCCAUAUACAAAGCUAAAUUAUAAGUGAAGGAUCUAAGGGAGAACAAUGAUAUUGAACUUGACACUGAAAAUGAAGACCUUGUCUAAGACAGCUGUAUUACUCAGUUUAAGCACCCUUCUGGCCUGCAUUAUAAUGCUAGUUACUGUGUUUCUAGUUGUCAGAAGUCUGAGAAUAAAAAUCUCCUUUACGUCUUCAUUGUCUGAGGACGACAUCAGGAAAAACAUCAUACAACUGAUUAAAGCUAAACUGGUGAGUCAAGGAGUGCCAUCAGACCUACCUCGAAACCUCUUGACCAAUAUAAAAAUAUGUUCAGACAUGAUUUUAUGUCCAAUGUUUACUUUUUAUUUGUCUGUUUAUAUUAAAGCCAACUGCAGAAACAAAUUCUCUUUAGUAAAAUUAAUCUUAAGUGACUAUUGAAAAUUUUAUUUACUGCACAGUUGUAAUUUACAGUACUCUCAUAACCAUGACAGCAGAAAUGUCUUCAUAUCAUGUCACUUCCUGGUUCAUUGUCUAACCUAAAAUAAAUUUGUGUUUGUGUUGUGCAUCAAGAUAAUAAAGUAUAUUUUAAAGGA
Long non-coding RNA from Micropterus salmoides (largemouth bass), 784 nucleotides. RefSeq lists it as uncharacterized. The transcript is spliced from 2 exons. The record is from RefSeq and is a predicted model, not a curated record. NCBI's taxonomy places the organism in Eukaryota, Metazoa, Chordata, Actinopteri, Centrarchiformes, Centrarchidae.